This is a long non-coding RNA of Oryza brachyantha (malo sina), 960 nucleotides long. RefSeq lists it as uncharacterized. NCBI's taxonomy places the organism in Eukaryota, Viridiplantae, Streptophyta, Magnoliopsida, Poales, Poaceae. The transcript is spliced from 3 exons. The record is from RefSeq and is a predicted model, not a curated record.
GUGACCGCGAACAUCGUUUGCGAGUUGCGACCUACCCGAAGCCACCGGCCCGCCGGCGCCGACCCCGUCCUCAUCGCCGGCGCACCUCGUCGGCAACCGGCGCGAUUAAUUUCGCCUACAUUUUGGCCUCUACUGGAUAAUCACCAAUAGGUGCUUAGCUCUGCAUCUCUCCGCCUCCUCCACCAUUGACCUCCGCAAGAACCGAACAGCAAGCGACCUACGAAAAGGUUCUGUAGACAGCAAUCUGCCAUUGUGUGAGGUCAAACCUCAUGCCAUCCUGGCAUCCUUGUUAUACAUCCUGGGCGAUACAAAGGCGGUUGUUUUACAAACAGUGAACAACCUGGAAGAGUUCCAAAAUCAGGGGCUUGGCAACUGAUGGACAAAAAAUCAGAUUGUGUUUGGUGGAUAUCUGAAAUUCUGGAUGCCUCGGCUGUCCGUGUCUGAUCAUCAGAAGUACAAAAUCCUGUAUCGGUGUAAACUAGCACUCGGUUUGCCGUUUGCAUCAAGUGUUUAAAUUAAUAUUCCUCUUAACUGAAAGCUACAGUUACUAACUUGCAGAUGGCAACACGGCAAAUGGCACGCCAAGUGUGAAUUGCUGUUGCACUGGGAUGAUCCCAUUCAGCCACAUACCAGCGGUUUACAAUUAACUGCUCUAUAAGAUAAUGCCACCAAAAAGAUGAACAGAGCGUCAGCAAGCAUCAGACCCGGCCACCGGUGUCGUGGACGUUUAAAAGUCAGCGUGCCACAAUCUUCCCUAUGCUCCCUACCUUCAUUUUCCUAGCUACUUUCUAAUGGUGACAUUGAUCUGAUCGUGUCAUCACCAUCCACAUACUAUUUUAUUAUUGUCAGUAUCAAAGAAGUAAAAUCAUAUCAUCUUCUGGAACCGUUUCCUGUUUGGCUGUAUUGCCGAUUUUGCAGGACAGGUCUGUACUUUACUGCCAUUUUUUUUUUCUGUUGAGA